GCACUCAUUUCAGCAGAACAUACACUAAAAUUGGAAUAAUACCAAGAUUAGCAUGGCCCCUGACAAGGAUGACAUGCAAAUUCAUGAAGCAUUCCAUAUUUUU
This 103-nucleotide small nuclear RNA is filed under the name Canis lupus familiaris (dog). The record is from RNAcentral. Lineage: Eukaryota; Metazoa; Chordata; Mammalia; Carnivora; Canidae.